AACCCGAAGGCGUGAAGCGGAUGGAACAUUGCGAUAAGUACAGAAGAGUCUGAAGCCAGCUUCCAAGAAAAGCUUCUAGCAUAACUGCAUUCUGCCCGUACCGAAAAUGGACACACAUGGGUAAGGAGAGAAUCCUAAGGUGAGCGAGAGAACUAUAGCUAAGGAACUCUGCAAAAUGACUCCGUAACUUAGGGAGAAGGAGUGCUCAGUGGAAGCUGAGCCGCAGUGAAACGGCCCAAGCGACUGUUUACCAAAAACACAGCUCUCUGCGAAGACGCAAGUCGAAGUAUAGGGGGUGACGCCUGCCCGGUGCUGGAAGGUUAAGGGGAGUGGUCAGCGAAAGCGAAGCCAUGAACCGAAGCCCCAGUAAACGGCGGCCGUAACUAUAACGGUCCUAAGG
This 400-nucleotide ribosomal RNA is filed under the name Massiliimicrobium timonense. Its description in RNAcentral is "Massilimicrobiota timonensis partial 23S ribosomal RNA". It matches the Rfam family "Bacterial large subunit ribosomal RNA", at positions 1539 to 1956 of the family's 2925-position model. Lineage: Bacteria; Bacillati; Bacillota; Erysipelotrichia; Erysipelotrichales; Erysipelotrichaceae. The record is from RNAcentral.